UGGGGAAUUUUGCACAAUGGGGGAAACCCUGAUGCAGCGACGCCGCGUGAUUUAGAAGGCCUUCGGGUUGUAAAAAUCUUUUCUAUGGGAAGAAAAUGACAGUACCAUAGGAAUAAGGACCGGCUAAUUACGUGCCAGCAGCCGCGGUAAUACGUAAGGUCCGAGCGUUGUCCGGAAUCAUUGGGCGUAAAGGGUACGUAGGCGGGUAAGCAAGUUAGAAGUGAAAUCCUGUAGCUCAACUACAGUAAGCUUUUAAAACUGCUCAUCUUGAGAUAUGGAAGGGAAAUUGGAAUUCCUAGUGUAGCGGUGAAAUGCGCAGAUAUUAGUAGGAAUACCGGUGGCGAAGGCGACUGUCUGGCCAUAAUCUGACGCUGGGGUACGAAAGCGUGGGUAGCAAACAGG
RNAcentral lists this ribosomal RNA (402 nucleotides) under Bacteroidota bacterium. Its description in RNAcentral is "Bacteroidetes bacterium partial 16S ribosomal RNA". It matches the Rfam family "Bacterial small subunit ribosomal RNA", at positions 355 to 776 of the family's 1533-position model. Lineage: Bacteria; Pseudomonadati; Bacteroidota. The record is from RNAcentral.